GACGGGGCCCGCACAAGCGGAGGAACAUGUGGUUUAAUUCGAUGAUACGCGAGGAACCUUACCUGGGCUUAAAUGUAGAGUGCAUGAGGUAGAAUACUUCUUCCCUUCGGGGCUCUUUGCAAGGUGCUGCAUGGUUGUCGUCAGCUCGUGCCGUGAGGUGUCGGGUUAAGUCCCAUAACGAGCGCAACCCUUAUCGUUAGUUGCCAGCGGGUCAUGCCGGGGACUCUAGCGAAACUGCCGGUGUAAACCGCGAGGAAGUGGGAUGACGUCAAAUCAGCACGGCCCUUAUGUCCAGGGCUACACACGUGUUACAAUGGCCGGUACAGAGGGCAGCUACCUGGAGACAGGAUGCGAAUCUCGAAAGCCGGUCUCAGUUCGGAUCGGAGUCUGCAACUCGACUCCGUGAAGCUGGAUUCGCUAGUAAUCGCGCAUCAGCCAUGGCGCGGUGAAUACGUUCCCGGGCCUU
RNAcentral lists this ribosomal RNA (466 nucleotides) under uncultured Sphingobacteriales bacterium. RNAcentral's name for it is "bacterial SSU rRNA". It matches the Rfam family "Bacterial small subunit ribosomal RNA", at positions 916 to 1381 of the family's 1533-position model. Lineage: Bacteria; Pseudomonadati; Bacteroidota; Sphingobacteriia; Sphingobacteriales. The record is from RNAcentral.